UAUUGAGUAUUGAAAUUAUCGUUCAUCAUAUGACUAUUUUGUUGUGCCCUUCAGAUCAAUGCUCAGGUUGGUUGAGCCACAUUCGGACUUGAACAUUCAUUUGUUGGAUGCACUUGGGGUAGUCAUAUUAAUGGUUGGACCUAAUCAGGAUUUUCAGUGGAGGCACCAUACGCCUGUUGAAGAGAAGCCUGGGGCAAAACUUAAUUGUUAGAAGUUGUUUGAAGAAAUAAUUGGUUAGGAACCCAUCUAUGGAUGCACUA
Molecule: long non-coding RNA, 260 nt
Filed under: Elaeis guineensis (African oil palm)
Lineage: Eukaryota; Viridiplantae; Streptophyta; Magnoliopsida; Arecales; Arecaceae
Description: long non-coding RNA (EGUI_LNC014169)
Source: RNAcentral